GGGCACGGGGGGAACCUCGACAGUCAGGCAACGAGCGAGACCCCUGCGUCUAGUUGCUACCAUUACUCUCUGGAGCAGUGGAGCGAAUUAGACGGACCGCCACAGUUAAUGUGGAGGAAGGAAGGGGCCACGGCAGGUCAGUAUGCCCCGAAACCCUAGGGCUACACGCGGGCUGCAAUGGUAUUGACAAUGUGUUCCGAAUCCGAAAGGAGGAGGCAAUCAUCAAACAAUAUCUCAGUUACGACUGAGGGCUGUAACUCGCCCUCACGAAUAUGGAAUCCCUAGUAACCGCGCGUCACUACCGCGCGGUGAACACGUCCCUGCUCCUUGCACGAAUUCGCCG
RNAcentral lists this ribosomal RNA (343 nucleotides) under uncultured Thermoprotei archaeon. RNAcentral describes it as "bacterial SSU rRNA". It matches the Rfam family "Archaeal small subunit ribosomal RNA", at positions 1011 to 1352 of the family's 1478-position model. Lineage: Archaea; Thermoproteati; Thermoproteota; Thermoprotei. The record is from RNAcentral.